AACGAACGCUGGCGGCAGGCCUAACACAUGCAAGUCGAGCGAGCAUUUCGGUGCUAGCGGCGGACGGGUGAGUAACGCGUGGGAACGUGCCCUUUUCUGCGGAAUAGUCCUGGGAAACUGGGGGUAAUACCGCAUACGCCCUUUUGGGGAAAGAUUUAUCGGAGAAGGAUCGGCCCGCGUUGGAUUAGGUAGUUGGCGGGGUAAUGGCCCACCAAGCCGACGAUCCAUAGCUGGUUUGAGAGGAUGAUCAGCCACACUGGGACUGAGACACGGCCCAGACUCCUACGGGAGGCAGCAGUGGGGAAUCUUAGACAAUGGGGGCAACCCUGAUCUAGCCAUGCCGCGUGAGUGAUGAAGGCCUUAGGGUUGUAAAGCUCUUUCAGCUGGGAAGAUAAUGACGGUACCAGCAGAAGAAGCCCCGGCUAACUCCGUG
RNAcentral lists this ribosomal RNA (433 nucleotides) under uncultured bacterium. RNAcentral describes it as "partial 16S ribosomal RNA". It matches the Rfam family "Bacterial small subunit ribosomal RNA", at positions 29 to 507 of the family's 1533-position model. The record is from RNAcentral.